UUUUCCCCUAAAUCCAAAACAACUAAACCCUUUCAAUAUGACAGAAAGUUUCCCCAAUCAAAAUAAUCACCUUUCAGCUUUUAUCUUUCUUCAUCUAAAACGAAGAAAAUUUUCAGUUGUUCUCCAUCAUCAUUCUAUAACAUUCUUUCUUCUUUAAGAAAAAUUCUGCACAAUGGAAUAUAUUUCCUCUUUUCUCUGAAACAUAAAGCUUCAAUUUCAAAUCGAAACAUUGAAGGGAAGAAAUAGCCGAAAUAUUUUGUUCGCUCGGCUAGGUCAAGCGUUCAAAUCCCUCAAAUUGAAAUAGGUAAAGCAUUCCUUUCCCUCAAAUAGGAACAUAGAAAUAAAUUUCCUUCUUUUACGCUUUCCUUUCCCCUCAAAUUAAAAUAAGGAAGAUGUUUGUUUCCCUCAAAUCGAAACAAAUAAAACUUUCGUUUCGGUCAAAUCAACACAAUGAAAACAUUUGUUUCCCUCAAAUUAACAUGCAGGUAACAACUUCUAUAUCUUACCAUGUUUCUUUUAGGAAUAUGUGUUUCCUAUUUGUUUGUAUUGAAGGUUCAUGGUGUUGUGUUUGUUCAGUGCUGCAGGAUGAUAUAUUUUAUUUGGAUAAAUGUUCUUUAAUGUCUCGUUGUUUGUUUUGCAGCAUUGUCCAGGAACCUUAUCUGGAAGAACUUUCAGAGCUACUCAUUGGUACUACAUCUAUUUCACAAAAGACUUGUUUCAUUGUUAUACUCAUUCUCUUUUCUGUAUGCAGACCAAGAAAAUAUUUCCAACCGACAUCAGUACUUUUAUAAGGUAUCUCAGUCUAUUAACUAUUUAUGUUUGAAAUUCGAAAUUAUUAUUUCUUUCAAUCUAUUGGCUUCAAGAUGGUUCUGACUUUGGUAUGACUCCUUAUAUACACGAGAAAUUUUUCUUUCCAGUUCUACAAUGAUAUGCUUUUAUCUAUAUGUGCACUUGUCUCUGGAGGAAAUCCCCUACCUAAGAAAUUGAAGCCAUUUGCUUGUAUAGUAUGAUAAGAUAGUCAAAAGGAUAUGUUACUUAUUUUUCUUAUUUUUCUUAGAAUCAAAAUAAGGUUGUAAAAGCUAGUAAUUUAGCCAAGUCACUUUUGGAGGCAGGUCAGCAAAAAGCUCAUGAUGUGAUUAUUGCAUUAGAUUUCUAAGCAUAUAGUGGAUUUCCAAUGAGAGGAGUGAAAUGAAUCAAUGUUUCUUAAUGCAAUACUCGCUAUCAGCUCCAUAAAGGUUAGUCUUUAGUGAAUAAUUAAAGUUUUAAUCAUAAGUCCAAUUAGAUAUCAAUGUUUAGAUAUAUGUUUAAUUGUUGUUUUAUAAAAUAAUAGUACAAAUAUGUGAAUGGUAAAAUUUCAUUGGAUAAUAGAUAAUUGUGUGAUAAUAAGGAAUUUGUUUUGUUAUUCUAUAAUGUUUGGUGACAAAAUUAUAUGUAAAUGAUGAUGAUAACUUCCCUGCACGUUGUCUAAGAGUAUGUUUAAAUUUAGAUUACAAAAGACUACUUCAAAAAUCUAAAUUACUAGAGUUGCUUUCGAGUUGUAUGAUAGUUUUGGCUUUGGAAAUAACAACUUUAUUACUUUGUUAUCCUACUCGUUCACUCCACUGGUUGUUCAAUAGGUUUGAACAAUUCAUGAUAGAUUUUUUUGCAGAGAUUUCAACUAUUGGAGAGAUUUGGCACAUGAACAUUGUAAAGAUGCAAUUAUUUUGUUUUCAUGAGGAUUCUAAUUUUUUAAUGUAUGAAUAUAGAGAAACUUAAUUUAAGUUCAAAAAUAUGUUCAUUUUUCAACUUGAUAGAUCAAGUUUUCCGACGUAUGUUACAUACUCUGGAUUGGCAAAAUUGAUUGAAUUUUAAUUCUCAAAAUAAUUUCUUCUGUGGUUGAAUCAUAUAAAUAAAGUUCCUGGAGUAAGAAUAAGUUUAGUACAAAGGUACUACAGCGAGUAUAGUUUUACUAGUUGAAAUACUUUUCCGUCUAUAAGAAUUAAUACAAAUAGACAUUGGCUGAAUUUAUUUCUUUUUCCUUACCCUUCUCUAACAAGGUGAAGCUAUUUUCAGAUUCUGGAUCAAUACAAGUUAGAGCCAAGGCUACAGUGUGCUCCAUAAGAAGUUAGAUUUCCAAUUUGUACAAUGUUUUUUAAAAAAUUGGAAUGUCAUUUUGUAUUAGCAGUUAGAAUAAAUUUUGUAUUUUUUGAAUGUUUACUUUUAGAUAACUUCCCAUAUGACGUGAGUCUCUGUUACAUUUAAAGUUAUCUUUUCAUAUAUCUCUGUAGGUGAGAUUAUCUUUGAAUUAAAAUACAGUGUUAUGAUUUAUCCUAUGAAUCAAGAGAAAGAAGAUAGGACUGCAAGAACACAAUAGAAUGUCCCAAGCAGGUAAUUAGGUUGGUGGGCUGGGGAUGUUGAAGGAGUUUAUAACUAAGAUUUUUUAUUUUGUGAAUAAAUCAAAUUCAUAAUUUGUGAAGGCAACCCUGUUUGUGUAUCAUGCGAUUGCAUUAGGUUCUAGUCCUGAAUUUGUAAGCAACUGAAGAAUGGAUGAAUGAAGAUUUCCAAUGUAUGACUUUCACACCUUGUAUGAUCUAUAUAUAUAUAUAGAGGUGACACUCCAUAUUAUAUUUUUCUUGUGACAGAUUUCUUUUCCCACCAGGCUGAGCAAAUCUUUUUUCCCAUGCUUGCUAAUUGGAAAAGAGAGUCUACAAUGGAAGAUAUUUUAUUGCAAUUGAAGAAAGAUAUGAUGUCUCCAUGAAUUCGGAAGCUAGCUCAGCCUCCUGAAGGGUACAACUUCUGUGGUAUUAGCAAGAUUGCUUGAUUCCCUUGAGUUAAUCGGAGACUCUAGUUUGAAGGAUGAAGGCAAAGAAAAUGGAUUAAGUGGUAGAAGCAAAGCCAUGGAACUUUAAAUUUUGUAUUUUUGUUUGAGUAUAUGGUUUUGUUUGGAAUGGAACUUUAUAUUUUUUAUAGAAAUUGUUGCUUAACUGUUUUUUCAUUCAGUUAUAUGUCAAAAACUAAUGUUACUGAGGAAUGACAAAAUAAAGGUUGUUGA
Long non-coding RNA from Vicia villosa (hairy vetch), 3031 nucleotides. RefSeq lists it as uncharacterized. NCBI's taxonomy places the organism in Eukaryota, Viridiplantae, Streptophyta, Magnoliopsida, Fabales, Fabaceae. The transcript has 3 exons. The record is from RefSeq and is a predicted model, not a curated record.